AUGUCGAAGAUGAUUUUUGCUCCUGCGAUUCUGACGAUGACGACGACGGCAGCGGCGAUGCUUGAUGAUCCAUCGAUGCUGCUCGUUUCUAUCUUCAGCAACAUUGCAGCCACUCCUACUGCUCCUGGUGCAGAUUCUCUGGACCAUGAUGCAUCGCCCUGCUCUCGUGGAAUCUCGCCAUCACCACUUGGGCUCUGUUAUGUAUGCCCCUCUUUCUCAACCUGGUCUGGAAGAUGGCAUUAUCAACUCAUGAAUCAUGAAGAGACGCAACCUGCAUUGUUCUCUGACCAGCCCACUGCCUACAAGUCCUGCAAGAUGCAUGGCUCCUUAAAUUGCAAAGAUGAUCUGCGCUGA
This 354-nucleotide ribosomal RNA is filed under the name Triticum aestivum (bread wheat). Its description in RNAcentral is "partial small subunit ribosomal RNA". The record is from RNAcentral. Lineage: Eukaryota; Viridiplantae; Streptophyta; Magnoliopsida; Poales; Poaceae.